CUGUGAAAUGAUGUGUUUUUUGUAGAUGCCCAUGCUAUUGCUCGCGUUGCCCACGUGAAAUAAUGCAUGUAGCCUUGUUAUAUGCUAUUUAUGAAAUAUAGAUUUUGCCUUUCUAUCAGCCUGGUAUUCUGAACUAUAAUCUGAAAUUUAAUCUAUCGAAUAGCAACAUAGCAUGAGUGUGUCAUGACUCAUGAGGCUAGUGUUUGACUGAAUUUGUGCUACAUUUAUAUGGUGGAUUCACUUCGCGAUUUGUCCUGUUC
RNAcentral lists this small RNA (260 nucleotides) under Oryza sativa Japonica Group (Japanese rice). RNAcentral's name for it is "sRNA Os01g0939901". The record is from RNAcentral. Lineage: Eukaryota; Viridiplantae; Streptophyta; Magnoliopsida; Poales; Poaceae.